RNAcentral lists this transfer RNA (83 nucleotides) under Yarrowia lipolytica. RNAcentral describes it as "tRNA-Lys". It matches the Rfam family "tRNA". Rfam says of the family: Transfer RNA (tRNA) molecules are approximately 80 nucleotides in length. Lineage: Eukaryota; Fungi; Ascomycota; Dipodascomycetes; Dipodascales. The record is from RNAcentral.
GCCUGGCUAGCUCAAUCGGUAGAGCGUGAGACUCUUAUUUCAAGGUCAUCUCAAGGCUGUGGGUUCAAGCCCCACGUCGGGCU